GAUGAACGCUGGCGGCGUGCUUAACACAUGCAAGUCGAACGCUGAACCCGCUUCGGUGGGGGAUGAGUGGCGAACGGGUGAGUAACACGUGGGCAACAUGCCCCCGGCUCUGGGAUAACUCCAAGAAAUUGGGGCUAAUACCGGAUGUGACCGCUGGCCGCAUGGGCUGGUGGUGGAAAGGGUUUCCGGCUGGGGUUGGGCCCGCGGCCUAUCAGCGUGUUGGUUGGGUAGUGGCCUACCAAAGGGACGACGGGUAGACGGCCUGGGAGGGUGACCGGGCACACUGGGACUGAGGCACGGCCCAGCCUGCGACGGGAGGCAGUAGUGGGGAACAUUGCGCAAUGGGCGGAAGCCUGACGCAGCGGUGCCGCGUGGGGGAUGACGGCUUUCGGGUUGUAAACCUCUUUCAGCAGGGACGAGGAGCAAGUGACGGUACCUGCAGAAAAAGCACCGGCCAACUACGUG
This 465-nucleotide ribosomal RNA is filed under the name uncultured bacterium. RNAcentral describes it as "partial 16S ribosomal RNA". It matches the Rfam family "Bacterial small subunit ribosomal RNA", at positions 28 to 507 of the family's 1533-position model. The record is from RNAcentral.